RNAcentral lists this unclassified non-coding RNA (345 nucleotides) under soil metagenome. Its description in RNAcentral is "partial contains 5.8S ribosomal RNA, internal transcribed spacer 2, and large subunit ribosomal RNA". The stretch from base 1 to 120 matches the Rfam family "5.8S ribosomal RNA", at positions 35 to 154 of the family's 154-position model. The record is from RNAcentral.
GAUGAAGAACGUAGCGAAAUGCGAUACGUAAUGUGAAUUGCAGAAUUCAGUGAAUCAUCGAGUCUUUGAACGCACAUUGCGCCCCCUGGUAUUCCGGGGGGCAUGCCUGUCCGAGCGUCAUUGCUGCCCUCAAGCACGGCUUGUGUGUUGGGCCUCCGUCCUCCUCCCGGGGGACGGGCCCGAAAGGCAGCGGCGGCACCGCGUCCGGUCCUCGAGCGUAUGGGGCUUCGUCACCCGCUCUUGUAGGCCCGGCCGGCGCUUGCCGACACAUCAAUCUUUUUUCCAGGUAGACCUCGGAUCAGGUAGGGAUACCCGCUGAACUUAAGCAUAUCAAUAAGCGGAGGA